GACGAACGCUGGCGGCGUGCUUAACACAUGCAAGUCGAACGGGAUGAUUUAAGAGCUUGCUCUUGGAGAAUCUAGUGGCAAACGGGUGAGUAACACGUAGACAACCUGCCGACAGGAUGGGGACAACAUUCCGAAAGGAAUGCUAAUACCGAAUGAAGCGGAGGAGAGGCAUCUCUCCUCCGUGAAAGAUGGCCUCUAUUUAUAAGCUAUCACCUGUCGAUGGGUCUGCGUCUGAUUAGCUGGUUGGUGAGGUAACGGCUCACCAAGGCGACGAUCAGUAGCCGGUCUGAGAGGAUGAACGGCCACAUUGGGACUGAGACACGGCCCAGACUCCUACGGGAGGCAGCAGUGGGGAAUCUUCCGCAAUGGGCGCAAGCCUGACGGAGCAACGCCGCGUGAGUGAAGAAGGUCUUCGGAUCGUAAAGCUCUGUUGACGGGGACGAACGUACGGAGUGCGAAUAGUGCUCUGUAAUGACGGUACCUGUCGAGGAAGCCCG
This 497-nucleotide ribosomal RNA is filed under the name Selenomonas sp. oral taxon 146. RNAcentral describes it as "bacterial SSU rRNA". It matches the Rfam family "Bacterial small subunit ribosomal RNA", at positions 28 to 494 of the family's 1533-position model. Lineage: Bacteria; Bacillati; Bacillota; Negativicutes; Selenomonadales; Selenomonadaceae. The record is from RNAcentral.